CAGUAGCCGCGGUAAUACGAAGGGGGCUAGCGUUGCUCGGAAUGACUGGGCGUAAAGGGUGCGUAGGCGGUGGCCAAAGUCAGGCGUGAAAUUCCUGGGCUCAACCUGGGGGCUGCGCUUGAUACUUGGUUGCUUGAGUGGGGAAGAGGGUCGUGGAAUUCCCAGUGUAGAGGUGAAAUUCGUAGAUAUUGGGAAGAACACCGGUGGCGAAGGCGGCGACCUGGUCCUUGACUGACGCUGAGGCGCGAAAGCGUGGGGAGCAAACAGGAUUAGAUACCCGCGUAGUCCCUGUCUCUUAUAC
This 301-nucleotide ribosomal RNA is filed under the name uncultured bacterium. RNAcentral describes it as "partial 16S ribosomal RNA". It matches the Rfam family "Bacterial small subunit ribosomal RNA", at positions 509 to 807 of the family's 1533-position model. The record is from RNAcentral.